RNAcentral lists this unclassified non-coding RNA (279 nucleotides) under Hevea brasiliensis (rubber tree). The record is from RNAcentral. Lineage: Eukaryota; Viridiplantae; Streptophyta; Magnoliopsida; Malpighiales; Euphorbiaceae.
UGCUUUAAUUUACUUUAUUUGAGGCAAGGGAGUUUCAGAAACAGCCCACAUCUCAAGGUAGGGGUAAGUUCUGCUUAGACACCACUCUCCCCAGCCCUUACUCCUGAAAUUACACUGGAUUUUUUUUGUUUUACUUGAUCUGGUUUUGUAGAAGUUUGUUUUACCUGUCAAAAACAGGGAUACUUGGAAAACAGCAUUAUUGGCCUGGUGAGAAAGAAUAUUUACACAUAUUAUGCUUAGUAAAAACUAUCCAAAGUGCAAAAGGAAAUGAGGAGAAUG